This 209-nucleotide long non-coding RNA is filed under the name Elaeis guineensis (African oil palm). Its description in RNAcentral is "long non-coding RNA (EGUI_LNC040141)". The record is from RNAcentral. Lineage: Eukaryota; Viridiplantae; Streptophyta; Magnoliopsida; Arecales; Arecaceae.
AGCUAAAAUUCAUUAAAAAUAAGUUAUAAUAAAAGAUUCAAUUUCGUUAUUCAUCAAGUAAAUAAAUCAACAUUGGUCAGAGCGAAUAAAUCCAAAAGAUAAUCUCGAAUCUAUGUUUAAAAUUAGUAGUUGAUUAUAAGUUCAUAAUAAUCCUAUAAAUUUAAUUUCAAUUGCAAAUCUCUAUGCUCACUGGCAUAGACCCUCUAGCC